UGUCUUGUAGUAUAUACUCUAUUACUGUAAACUGCAACUUUACCUAAACUUUUGGUCAAGACAU
This 64-nucleotide transfer RNA is filed under the name Alasmidonta varicosa. Its description in RNAcentral is "tRNA-Cys". Lineage: Eukaryota; Metazoa; Mollusca; Bivalvia; Unionida; Unionidae. The record is from RNAcentral.